AGAGUUUGAUCAUGGCUCAGGAUGAACGCUAGCUACAGGCUUAACACAUGCAAGUCGAGGGGGCAGCAUGGAAGUUGCUUGCAACUUCUGGUGGCGACCGGCGAAUGGGUGAGUAACGCGUAUCUAACCUGCCCUGUGCCGGGAAUAGCCCUUGGAAACGAGGAUUAACGCCCGAUGGCGUGCAUUGACCGCAUGGGAAAUGCACUAAAUGCGAAGGCACGGGAUGGGGAUGCGUUCCAUUAGGUUGUUGGCGGGGUAACGGCCCACCAAGCCUUCGAUGGAUAGGGGUUCUGAGAGGAAGGUCCCCCACAUUGGAACUGAGACACGGUCCAAACUCCUACGGGAGGCAGCAGUGAGGAAUAUUGGUCAAUGGGCGGAAGCCUGAACCAGCCAAGUAGCGUGAGGGAUGACGGCCCUACGGGUUGUAAACCUCUUUUAUGCGGGGAUAAAGUGCGCCACGCGUGGCGUUUUGCAGGUACCGCAUGAAUAAGGACCGGCUAAUUCCGUGCCAGCAGCCGC
This 519-nucleotide ribosomal RNA is filed under the name uncultured bacterium. Its description in RNAcentral is "bacterial SSU rRNA". It matches the Rfam family "Bacterial small subunit ribosomal RNA", at positions 8 to 518 of the family's 1533-position model. The record is from RNAcentral.